GUUUCCGUCCCCUUGCGGGGAAAAGAUAGAAAACUAC
RNAcentral lists this non-coding RNA (37 nucleotides) under Planktothrix paucivesiculata PCC 9631. The record is from RNAcentral. Lineage: Bacteria; Bacillati; Cyanobacteriota; Cyanophyceae; Oscillatoriales; Microcoleaceae.